CAAAGGCUUGGUCCUGACUUUACUAUCAGCCGUAACACAACUUACACAUGCAAGUCUCCGCAGCCCCGUGAGAAUGCCCUUAAUCCCCUGCCCGGGGACGAGGAGCGGGCAUCAGGCUCAAUUAUUUAGCCCAAGACGCCUUGCCACGCCACACCCCCAAGGGAACUCAGCAGUGAUAAAUAUUAAGCCAUGAGCACUAAGCUUGACUUAGUUAGUGCUAAGAGGGCCGGUAAAACUCGUGCCAGCCACCGCGGUUAUACGAGAGGCCCUAGUUGAUAGGUGCGGCGUAAAGGGUGGUUAAGGAGAGCAAAAAUUAAAGUCAAAGGGCCUCUUGGCCGUCAUACGCUUCUGAGUGUCCGAAGCCCAAAUACGAAAGUAACUUUAGCAAAGCCCACCCGACCCCACGAAAGCUGAGAAACAAACUGGGAUUAGAUACCCCACUAUGCUCAGCCAUAAACCUAGACGUUUAAUCACAACAAACGUCCGCCAGGGUACUACGAGCGUCAGCUUAAAACCCAAAGGACUUGGCGGUGCCUUAGACCCCCCUAGAGGAGCCUGUUCUAGAACCGAUAACCCCCGUUAAACCUCACCACUUCUAGUCAUCCCCGCCUAUAUACCGCCGUCGUCAGCUUACCCUGUGAAGGCUCAAUAGUAAGCAAAGUGGGCACAACCCAAAACGUCAGGUCGAGGUGUAGCGUACGAAGUGGGAAGAAAUGGGCUACAUUUUCUAUAAUAGAAUAAAACGAAUGGCAUCAUGAAAAUUUGAUGCUUGAAGGAGGAUUUAAUAGUAAAAAGGAAAUAGAGUGUCCUUUUGAACCCGGCUCUGAGGCGCGUACACACCGCCCGUCACUCUCCCCUGUAAUAGCAAUCAACGUAGAUAACAACAAAGCACCAACAAGGGGAGGCAAGUCGUAACAUGGUAAGUGUACCGGAAGGUGCACUUGGAUCAAACC
Molecule: non-coding RNA, 953 nt
Filed under: Vanmanenia pingchowensis
Lineage: Eukaryota; Metazoa; Chordata; Actinopteri; Cypriniformes; Gastromyzontidae
Description: 12S ribosomal RNA
Rfam family: Bacterial small subunit ribosomal RNA
Source: RNAcentral